GACGAACGCUGGCGGCGUGCCUAACACAUGCAAGUCGAGCGAUGAAGCCCUUCGGGGUGGAUUAGCGGCGGACGGGUGAGUAACACGUGGGUAACCUGCCUUGUAGAGGGGGAUAGCCUUCCGAAAGGAAGAUUAAUACCGCAUAAUAUCUUUUUAUCGCAUGGUAGAAAGAUCAAAGGAGUAAUCCGCUACAAGAUGGACCCGCGGCGCAUUAGCUAGUUGGUGAGGUAACGGCUCACCAAGGCGACGAUGCGUAGCCGACCUGAGAGGGUGAUCGGCCACAUUGGAACUGAGACACGGUCCAGACUCCUACGGGAGGCAG
Molecule: ribosomal RNA, 322 nt
Filed under: uncultured Bacillota bacterium
Lineage: Bacteria; Bacillati; Bacillota
Description: bacterial SSU rRNA
Rfam family: Bacterial small subunit ribosomal RNA
Source: RNAcentral